RNA transcript from Acinonyx jubatus (cheetah), 5915 nucleotides. It is a transcript of the gene named small nuclear RNA activating complex polypeptide 4, with no coding region annotated. Lineage: Eukaryota; Metazoa; Chordata; Mammalia; Carnivora; Felidae. The transcript is spliced from 22 exons. The record is from RefSeq and is a predicted model, not a curated record.
GGGGCGGGGACAGGCCGCGGGCCGGGGCCCAGGAGAGGCGGUGGGAAGAACGGGGCCGGGGCCCGCGCUGCCCGCGGGGUUGGCGGCCUGAUGCCCCGGUAGCCGCUGCCGGCUCUGCAGAGCUGCGUGGCUCUUGGCUGGUUGGGGUUACACACGGUUAGAGUGUACACGGCGCUCCGUGCUGCGGAUCGGGCUGAAGCGUGCUCCCGCUUGGUGGCUGCCGUUGUCCGAUUUCAGCGGGAAUGUUUCUGGGCUUGGUCGUUGGCUCCUAGGUAGGAGUCAUGGACGUGGACGCCGAAAGAGAGAAAAUAGCAAAGGAGAUUGAAGAAUUAGAAAGGAUCUUGGAUCCCAGCUCCUCGAGUAUCAGCGUGGAGGUCUCGGAGUCUGGUCUUGCACUGGAUUCCGAAGCAGACUCGCUGCCUGAAGAGGACUCGGACGCUGCUGGCUCCCUGGCCUCGGAAGAGGAGAGGUGGGGAGAGGCCAGCAAUGGCGAAGACGACCCCAAGAAGACCCUCCCUGAAGACCCAGAGACCUGCCUGCAGUUGAACAUGGUCUACCAGGAGGUCAUCCAGGAGAGGCUGGCAGAGGUCAGCCUCCUGCUGGCCCAGAACCGGGAGCAGCAGGAGGAGAUCAUGUGUGACCUGGCAGGGUCCAAAGGCCCCAAGGUGAAAGGUGGCAAGAGUCUGCCCCCGAAUCUGUACAUAGGGCACUUCAUGAAGCCCUACUUCAAGGACAGGGUCACCGGAGUGGGGCCUCCAGCCAACGAAGACACGCGGGAGAAGGCCGCCCAGGGCAUCAAGGCUUUCGAGGAGCUCCUGGUGACUAAGUGGAAAAACUGGGAGAAGGCCUUGCUCAGAAGGUCAGUGGUGAGCGACCGCCUACAGCGCCUGCUUCAGCCCAAGUUACUGAAGCUUGAAUACUUGCACCAGAAACGGAGUAGGGUGACCAGUGAGGCAGAGAGGCAGGUCCUGGAGAAGCAGAGCAGAGAGGCGGAGAAGGAGGUCCAGGACAUCCGGGAGCUCCCAGAGGAGACCUUGCUGGGGAACAGGCUGGACGGCCACGACUGGGAGAAGAUCUCCAACGUUAACUUCGAGGGCGGCCGCAGCGCAGAGGAGAUCCGGAAGUUCUGGCAGAACUGUGAGCACCCGAGCAUCAACAAGCAGGAGUGGAGCGGGCCGGAGGUCGAGCAGCUCAAGGCCAUCGCAGCCAAGCAUGGCCACCUGCAGUGGCAGAAGAUCGCCAAGGAGCUGGGGACCGGCCGCAGCGCCUUCCAGUGCCUACAGAAGUACCAGCAGCACAACAGGGCUCUGAAGCGCAGGGAGUGGACCCCAGAGGAGGACCACCUGCUCACCCAGCUCGUGCGGGAGAUGCGCGUCGGCAGCCACAUCCCCUACCGGAGAAUUGUCUACUACAUGGAAGGGAGAGACUCCAUGCAGCUCAUCUAUCGGUGGACCAAGAGCUUGGACCCCAACCUGAAGAAGGGGCUCUGGGCCCCGGAGGAGGAUGCGAAAUUGCUUCGAGCCGUCGCCAAGUACGGGGAGCAGGAUUGGUUUAAAAUCCGGGAAGAGGUGCCAGGUAGGAGCGAUGCCCAGUGCCGAGAUCGGUACCUCAGAAGGCUGCACUUCGGCCUGAAGAAGGGGCGAUGGAGCACAAAAGAGGAGGAGAAGUUGAUGGAACUGAUAGAAAAGUACGGCGUCGGUCACUGGGCAAAGAUAGCUUCGGAGCUACCCCAUCGGACGGGCUCCCAGUGUCUGAGCAAGUGGAAAAUCAUGGUCAGGAAGAAGCAGAGUCGGGGGAGGAGGCGGCGGCGGCGGCCCCUUCGCAGCGUGCGCUGGAGCUCCAGCAGCGAGGACGGCAGCGAUGGGGACAGCAGCAGCAGCAGCAGCAGCAGGGACAGUGAGGAGUCGGAGCCAGAGGAAACCCCAGAGGCCCGGGCGGGGGGCCAGGUGCUGCCCUCAGCACAGCACGCCGUGCCAGACAUGGACCUGUGGGUGCCUGCCAGGCAGAGCGCCGGCGGGCCGUGCGCGGGGGGCGCCUGGGGCCGGCCGGGACGCCCUGCUGCCUCCCCCAGCCCUCCCAGGGGCACCAGUGGGGCGGAGGCUGGCCCAGCAGCUUGGCCCGCGGCCUCGGCUCCCGCACAGGAGGCAGGCCGGGCGCACGCCCCAUCGGGGACCCGCAGCUCCAGUGCGAGCGCCGUCGGCUGCCCGGGCUCAGCGGAUGCUCCCCCCUCGGGCUCAGAGGCGCCGGCGGACGAGAGCGGGAGUCGUCUGCUCAGGGUGCCCCUGGAGACCGUGCUGCAGGUGCUGAGGACCAACACGGCCCACCGGUGCCGGACCCUGGUAGGGCUGGCCCACGGCCCCCGCUGCCCCUGCCCCUCGGUCUGGGCCCCCUGCCCCUCCAGAACAGGGAAGGGCCGGGAACCCCAGAUGCCUUUCUUCCUCACACAGAAGAAACUGAGGCAGCCAGGCCUGCUCGGCCCAUCCGUGGGGGCCGGCCCCAGUGACUGCGCCGUAGCCGGGCCCUGCGUCCGGCAGCUGUGGCACAGGACGAUCGGGAACAGGCAGCGAUGGCGGGGACACUCCCUGCAGAGGAGGCUCCUUGAGCGCCAGCUCCUGACGGCUGUGAGCCCGUGGGUGGGCGACAUCGUCCUGCCCUGCACUCCCCGAAGGCCUGCCGCGGCACACACCCGAGCCGAUGGCAUCAGGAAGCAGCUUCAGGACGCCCACCUGGCCAGCACCCCGGUGUUCACCCUCUUUAUCCAGCUGUUCCAGAUUGACACUGCUGGCUGCAUGGAGGUCGUUCGAGAGAGGAAGGCCCAGCCCCCUGCCCUGCUGCAGACUGGCACCCGGGACCCAGUGCCUGGGCUCCUACCGAUGCCUUCAAGUACCCGGAACGCUACAGGCCACAGCUUCCGGAGCGCGCCAGCCCGAGAAGCUGUGAAGCAGAGCGCCAGCCUCAAAGGGAGCAGGGGGCUGCAGCCCUGCCAUGCCGAGUCCGGUCCGCAGGUGCCCCCACCAGCUCCGUGUGGUCCCCGGCCCAAGCCCAAGACUGUCUCCGAGCUGCUCCGGGAGAAGCGGCUGCGGGAGGCCCGGGCCAGGAAGGCCGCCCCGGGCGCUGUGGUCCUCCCACCCCAGCUGCUGCUCUCCUCCCCACUGAUUCUCCAGCCCCGUCUCCCGGUGGCCCCCCACGGCCCCUCGGCUUCGGGCCUGGCUGUCACAGCCUCGGUGCUCUCCCGGCCUAGCGCCCCUGCCGCGACAGAGCCGUGCACUUCCGGUUCUCGGGCCUCAGCCGAGGACGGAAGGCCCUCCCCCCUGCCAGUCUUGGCCGGCGCCCUGGCCUCCACAGAGGCUGCCCCUGCUGCCUCCAUGGUGCCAGUUCUGGGCCCCAGCCAGGUCCCCGUGAACUGCCAUCGAGGUGGCCCGGGACAGUCUCAGGCCCCUGCCACCACCCAGAAGCAGGGCUUGCCAGAGGCACCACCCUUUCUCCCUGCAGUCCCCAGCCCCUCUCAGCUGCCCGUCCAGCCCAUCUGCCCGACGCCAGCUGUGGGCACACACGAGAGGGGGCCACAGGUGGUGGCCAGCACCCCUCUGCCGGUCACCUGGGUGCUCACAGCCCAGGGGCUCCUCCCCGUGCCCACCGUGGUGGGCCUUCCUGGGCCAGCAGGGACCUCUGACUCCAAGGGACUGUCCGUGGCUCUGUCGUCCUCCCUGCCUGGGACACAGAUAGGCCAGGGUCCCGGGCUCCCCGGGUCGACCCACCCCUGGCAGACCCCCACCAGCCGGGACACAGACUCAGACCCUCCCUCCGAGACAGACCCGCCGGGCCUUCCGAUGCCCCACCGGUCUCAAGGUUCCACGGAGGUGGACAGAGACGGGGCCCACGGCCCGGCGGGGGGCUCCUUCCCUGGAGAGGCUCAAGUGGCCGGGGACACAGCCGUGUCUGGGGCACCCUCCCAAGCCGCGCUCCUGGCUGACCACCCUGAAGCAAAGUCCCCCAGGCCCGGCCAGCCGCCUCUUCGAGGUGGCACCGGCCCUGGGAGUGGCCCAGGAGGGACAGCAGGGUCCGCCUUGAGACCAGAGAGACUCGGGAAGCCUCUGGGCCUGGAGAGGCCACCCCCACCCCGGCCUGGGCCUGAGAGGGGUGCCCUGGACUUGGACCUCGUGUCUCAGGAGGGUGAGGCGGUCGUGCGGGAAUGGCUGAGGGGACGGCGUGGGGUGAGCGUGCCCCCGCUGGGGGGAGGGCUGCCUUACCAGCCCCCCGCCCUGUGCAGCCUGCGGGCCCUGUCUGCACUCUUGCUCCAGAAGGCGGCCUUGGAGCGCAGAGCCGCCUCCCUCGUGCCGGGGGGCGCCGGAGCCCUGCACGCCUCGCUGGGACAGGUACGGAGGUGGCUCCGGGACAGCCCGGCCUACCUGCUGCUCAAGGCGCGGUUCCUGGCGGCCUUCACCCUCCCCGCGCUCCUGGCCACCCUGUCCCCCGAUGGCGUUCCCACCACCCUGUCCGUAGCCACGAGGGCUGACCCCGAGAGCGAGGACGACCUGGGCCUGGAGGAGUCGGAGCUCACUGAUGGCUGCUCCACGACCGGUCCUCGGGCAGGGCCGGCGGCCGCCACCCCCAUUCAGGUAGGUGGCCGUGGGCACGUAGCACCCACCCAGCCUCCCCGUGGCCGCUGUGGGUGCCCAGCCCACCCAGAACAGCGUGGGCAGGAGUGGGUGGGAGCCGUGGCCGACUGGUUGCUGAGGAGGAAGCUGGCUCUGGGCUCCGUCUGUGCGGACGUGGCCUCCCUUGAGGCCAGUGUGGAAAACGGGAGGGGAAGGAACCUCUCCACUCACGAAACCCCUUGGCCACCCCUGGGGCCGCUGGCCUGGUCACACAGCCCUGCCGGAGGGCUGAGCAGACGGGCUCAGGCUCCACGCACCGCGCACACCCACACGCGGACUCCUGCUGGCAGCCCUGCAUGUCCGGGACCCCGAGGUCCUUCUCGCGGUCUGCUCUGGCGGCCUCGGCCUCAGAAGAGUCUUCCGAGCUGUGGAGGCAAAACCCCUUUUCCUGUUGCCUGACAAGAAGCCCGGUCUAAACACGCAGAGAGGUGUCUCCGCAUCUUCUGUGGCAGAGCAGGAGAGCCGGGCCGCCUCGUUUGGUGCCGGAUCAGGAAUAUUGUGGGGUCCCUGCAGGUCGCGGGCCUCCCCAGCUGGAGCUCGCCUUUGCGCCGUCCAGACAGUGGGAGGCAGGGCUUGUGACUGGGGGCCGUGCGGGGAAGGACUCCUCGUUCCCCCGUCCUGCUUGCCGGCUCUCCAGGGCCGCUACCAUGACACAGGGCUGGCUCUGUGGCAUCGCUGGGAGGUUGGAGACGCCAAGGGGUGCGGGGUGGGAAGCCAGAGCCCCCAUGUGGCCCCUGCACGUGGCCAUGUCCCCAGGCCCAGCCUGUAGUGUCUCACCGUCUGCAGGGACCGGUCUGGGGAGCUGCCUGUCCCUGGCGUCCAGUGUCAGGACCCAGCUUCUGCCCUGGCAUACCCCUUGCUGCUGUCGCUUUCCCUGCCUGUCCUGGCUGGGGGUCACUCUUGCCCCCAUCUGCUUGGGUUUUGUUUCAGGGAGCCCCAGACCCUGGGGAGAGCUCUGCCUCUUGCUGCCUAGACAGUUCUGACAACCUGGAUGUGCUCAGAACCCGGCAUGCCCGGAAGAGGAGGCGGCUGGUGUGAGCAGCAGGGAGGUGGGAGCCGUGCCGGACCCUGGUGAGCCCACCUGCCUGGAGAGCCCACCGCUGACCCUACGGGAGAGAGCAGCCAGAAGCAGCUGGAGGUUGGGGAAGGCUCUGCCAGCCGUGACCGUGAGGCCCCCGGGGGCUUGGCUGGUCCUGAACCACAGAUCGGGAUGUUUGAAGGAAUAAAGUGAAUGGCCUAUUUUUUUAUUAAAAACCA